This 220-nucleotide long non-coding RNA is filed under the name Prunus persica (peach). RNAcentral's name for it is "long non-coding RNA (PPER_LNC000185)". The record is from RNAcentral. Lineage: Eukaryota; Viridiplantae; Streptophyta; Magnoliopsida; Rosales; Rosaceae.
GGGUUGUGACACAUGGCGUAUUCCCCUUGGAUUCUAUCAGGGAUGACGUCAGCGUCCUAGGGCUAAAGCCCAGGCGAGACCUACACUUGGGCUUGCCCGAGCUGGAUUGGUAGCGCUGGAAAGGGUGGAUUUGGCUCUCGGGGGGCCUUUUGCCCUGGCAGGACCCCUGCGCUGGAGAUGCUCUUACUUAGAUAUAAGGCCUCCUCUGCUAUAGUUCGUG